Long non-coding RNA from Thamnophis elegans (Western terrestrial garter snake), 179 nucleotides. RefSeq lists it as uncharacterized. The transcript is spliced from 3 exons. NCBI's taxonomy places the organism in Eukaryota, Metazoa, Chordata, Lepidosauria, Squamata, Natricidae. The record is from RefSeq and is a predicted model, not a curated record.
GUUUUCUGAGCAAAGUAAAGAAAUAAGGUGGUCUGCAGAAGACCGGCAAGCCAGUGAUUCUUCCUCUGUUUUCUGAGCAAACAAAGUAAAGAAAUAAGGCAGUGUACAGAAGACCGGCAAGCCACUUAUGCUUCCUCUGUUGUUUGAGCAAAGAAAAGCAAAGUAAAGCAUAUAAAUCC